Molecule: transfer RNA, 76 nt
Filed under: Planctomyces sp.
Lineage: Bacteria; Pseudomonadati; Planctomycetota; Planctomycetia; Planctomycetales; Planctomycetaceae
Description: tRNA-Met
Rfam family: tRNA
About the family: Transfer RNA (tRNA) molecules are approximately 80 nucleotides in length. Their secondary structure includes four short double-helical elements and three loops (D, anti-codon, and T loops). Further hydrogen bonds mediate the characteristic L-shaped molecular structure. tRNAs have two regions of fundamental functional importance: the anti-codon, which is responsible for specific mRNA codon recognition, and the 3' end, to which the tRNAs corresponding amino acid is attached (by aminoacyl-tRNA synthetases). tRNAs cope with the degeneracy of the genetic code in two manners: having more than one tRNA (with a specific anti-codon) for a particular amino acid; and 'wobble' base-pairing, i.e. permitting non-standard base-pairing at the 3rd anti-codon position.
Source: RNAcentral
AGCAGGGUAGAGAAGCGGUUAACUCACUGGGCUCAUAAUCCGGAGAUCGAGGGUUCGAAUCCCUCCCCUGCAACCA